UCUCCGUUGGUGAACCAGCGGAGGGAUCAUUACCGAGUUUUUUUACUCCCAAACCCCUGUGAACUUAUACCUUUACUGUUGCUUCGGCGGGGUAACGCCCAAGAAGUCCCAAGAAGCUGCCGUAACCAGGCGCCCACCGAGCAACCCAAACUCUUGUAUUUCUUACUUUGAAUGUCUGAUUGGAAUCAUAAACAAAUGAAUCAAAACUUUCAACAACGGAUCUCUUGGUUCUG
RNAcentral lists this unclassified non-coding RNA (233 nucleotides) under plant metagenome. RNAcentral describes it as "partial contains small subunit ribosomal RNA, internal transcribed spacer 1, and 5.8S ribosomal RNA". The record is from RNAcentral.